ACUUUCAACAACGGAUCUCUUGGCUCUCGCAUCGAUGAAGAACGUAGCGAAGUGCGAUAAGUAAUGUGAAUUGCAGAAUUCCGUGAAUCAUCGAAUCUUUGAACGCAAAUUGCACUCUCUGGUAACCCGGGGAGUAUGCCUGUUUGGGGGUCAGUGU
RNAcentral lists this ribosomal RNA (157 nucleotides) under Rhizophagus irregularis. Its description in RNAcentral is "5.8S ribosomal RNA". It matches the Rfam family "5.8S ribosomal RNA". Rfam says of the family: 5.8S ribosomal RNA (5.8S rRNA) is a component of the large subunit of the eukaryotic ribosome. The record is from RNAcentral. Lineage: Eukaryota; Fungi; Glomeromycota; Glomeromycetes; Glomerales; Glomeraceae.